AGCGAACGCUGGCGGCAGGCCUAACACAUGCAAGUCGAACGAACCUUUCGGGGUUAGUGGCGGACGGGUGAGUAACACGUGGGAACGUGCCUUUAGGUUCGGAAUAACUCAGGGAAACUUGUGCUAAUACCGAAUGUGCUCUUCGGGGGAAAGAUCUAUCGCCUUUAGAGCGGCCCGCGUCUGAUUAGCUAGUUGGUUGAGGUAAUGGCUCACCAAGGCGACGAUCAGUAGCUGGUCUGAGAGGAUGAUCAGCCACAUUGGGACUGAGACACGGCCCAAACUCCUACGGGAGGCAGCAGUGGGGAAUCUUGCGCAAUGGGCGAAAGCCUGACGCAGCCAUGCCGCGUGAAUGAUGAAGGUCUUAGGAUUGUAAAAUUCUUUCACCGGGGACGAUAAUGACGGUACCCGGAGAAGAAGCCCCGGCUAACUUCGUG
This 434-nucleotide ribosomal RNA is filed under the name uncultured bacterium. RNAcentral describes it as "partial 16S ribosomal RNA". It matches the Rfam family "Bacterial small subunit ribosomal RNA", at positions 29 to 507 of the family's 1533-position model. The record is from RNAcentral.